CACGUAGGGUGCGAGCGUUGUCCGGAAUUAUUGGGCGUAAAGAGCUCGUAGGCGGUGUGUCACGUCGGCCGUGAAAACCUACAGCUUAACUGUGGGCUUGCUUUCGAUACGGGCAGACUUGAGGCAUGCAGGGGAGAACGGAAUUCCUGGUGUAGCGGUGAAAUGCGCAGAUAUCAGGAGGAACACCGGUGGCGAAGGCGGUUCUCUGGGCAUGUUCUGACGCUGAGGAGCGAAAGUGUGGGGAGCGAACAGG
RNAcentral lists this ribosomal RNA (253 nucleotides) under uncultured bacterium. Its description in RNAcentral is "partial 16S ribosomal RNA". It matches the Rfam family "Bacterial small subunit ribosomal RNA", at positions 524 to 776 of the family's 1533-position model. The record is from RNAcentral.